This 635-nucleotide ribosomal RNA is filed under the name bacterium enrichment culture clone SC-1_47. RNAcentral's name for it is "bacterial SSU rRNA". It matches the Rfam family "Bacterial small subunit ribosomal RNA", at positions 1 to 639 of the family's 1533-position model. The record is from RNAcentral.
UAGAGUUUGAUCCUGGCUCAGAUUGAACGCUGGCGGCAUGCUUUACACAUGCAAGUCGAGCGGCAGCGCGGGGCAACCUGGCGGCGAGUGGCGAACGGGUGAGUAAUACAUCGGAACGUACCCAGAAGUGGGGGAUAACGUAGCGAAAGUUACGCUAAUACCGCAUACGUUCUACGGAAGAAAGUGGGGGAUCUUCGGACCUCAUGCUUUUGGAGCGGCCGAUGUCUGAUUAGCUAGUUGGUGAGGUAAAGGCUCACCAAGGCGACGAUCAGUAGCUGGUCUGAGAGGACGACCAGCCACACUGGGACUGAGACACGGCCCAGACUCCUACGGGAGGCAGCAGUGGGGAAUUUUGGACAAUGGGCGCAAGCCUGAUCCAGCAAUGCCGCGUGAGUGAAGAAGGCCUUCGGGUUGUAAAGCUCUUUUGUCAGGGAAGAAACGGCUGGGGCUAAUAUCCCCGGCUAAUGACGGUACCUGAAGAAUAAGCACCGGCUAACUACGUGCCAGCAGCCGCGGUAAUACGUAGGGUGCAAGCGUUAAUCGGAAUUACUGGGCGUAAAGCGUGCGCAGGCGGUUUUGUAAGUCUGACGUGAAAUCCCCGGGCUCAACCUGGGAAUUGCGUUGGAGACUGCAAG